AGCUGGUCCGAGUGCAGUGCUGUUCACAACUAACUGAUCACAACCAGUUACAGAUUCCUGUUCCUUCUCCACUACCCCUGUUCACUUGGCUAGCCUUAA
RNAcentral lists this non-coding RNA (99 nucleotides) under Otolemur garnettii (small-eared galago). The record is from RNAcentral. Lineage: Eukaryota; Metazoa; Chordata; Mammalia; Primates; Galagidae.